AGUGCAAAGGAAAAUCUUAACAUGGAUCGUUUCGCUGGAGUUGAGAACAUGCUUUUUUCCCCCUGUCACCUUAUUAAAAUCAAAAAUUAAAAAAAAAUUCUCUAAAUCCUGGGAGUUUGAUCGGCAUCUGCCCCUGAUUUUAAUCCAAAGGAGCUGCUUUUGGAACUGGCGUGUCCGGCUUUGGUGUUUGCCUGCUGAGGAAGAGGCCCACUCUUUUCUCCAGUCUUGGUAUGAGGAUUUCUCUCUCUCCAAGUAAUUCCUUAGCAUACCCUUGAAUGGCAUCUACCACACGAGAUAACUUUUUGAACCCACAAGGCUGAAACAACUUCCCUUAACUGAAAUGACCCCAGCACAGCUAUUCACUAGAAGACAUCCUCCUUGAUUUCGUGGGGGGCCCGUAAGAUGACUGAAGUUGUAGAACAGCAAAGACUUGGAACAGACAUUGAGGUCCUAUUGCUCCUGUCGGAAACUUCUGUUGACUGCAGUGUGAGUUGGAUGGGACCCAGAGAAACCAAAUACAGACAAGUAAUGAUGAGUUGGCCAUACAAGCAAGGAAAAUCACAGAUAACAGGAAUGUUUCAGCUACCUGCAGCCUCAUCCGAUGAUGCUUAAUGAACUCAGCUAGCUCGAUCUUCUGUGCACCAGGGAUUUCUUUAAAUGGUAAACUGUAGGGAUUUCUUUAAAUGGGUAAACUGUAUAGAACAUUGUUUUCAAGUUUAACGUACUUGGAAUUAACCUUAUAAAAUAAUGGCAUCUCUAAAGACAGGUUAUAUACAUAGCACAGACACGUAUGUGUGCAUUUAUAUGUGCAUGUCCAUGUAUACAUGUAUAUAUAUACAUAAGUGCACACAUAUGUAUAGAAAUGCUGAUGUUAUUCACCUUUUUGAAAUCUUUACAGCUAGUAUUAACAUGAAUGUGCUGUUAAAUUUGGCAGUGUUAUACAUUUUUGUUGGAGUUUACUUCUGUAAGAUAAAAUCAUAAAGAUAAGCUGUGAAACUCGUGCAGCUGAUGACAUAAUUCUAGAAUCUCGUGAUGCUGAAUCUCAUAUUUCUAUGAGUGUGGGAUGGAUGUUCCUUGUUGAAAUAAUUGUACUGCCUAUUGAAAUAUAUGUUUCCUUGUUUUUAUGUGGGCACUGAGAUGUCCAAACUAUUAAACAUAUAUGGUACAAUGA
RNA transcript from Agelaius phoeniceus (red-winged blackbird), 1171 nucleotides. RefSeq lists it as uncharacterized. Lineage: Eukaryota; Metazoa; Chordata; Aves; Passeriformes; Icteridae. The record is from RefSeq and is a predicted model, not a curated record.